UUGUAGCAAUACAACUGGCGCACGGCGCACGGGUGCGUAACACGUGGGUAACCUGCCCUUUGGUGGGGAAUAACUCCGCGAAAGCGGAGCUAAUUCCGCAUAAGAUCCGCAAGGAUGAAAGCCGCAAGGCGCCGAAGGAGGGGCCCGCGCCCGAUUAGCUAGUUGGUAGGGUAACGGCCUACCAAGGCUUUGAUCGGUAGCUGGUCUGAGAGGAUGAUCAGCCACACUGGAACUGAGACACGGUCCAGACUCCUACGGGAGGCAGCAGUGGGGAAUCUUGCACAAUGGGCGAAAGCCUGAUGCAGCGACGCCGCGUGGGGGAUGAAGCAUUUCGGUGUGUAAACCCCUUUCGAUCCGGACGAAACCCCGCAAGGGAUUGACGGUACGGAUAUAAGAAGCCCCGGCUAACUACGUGCCAGCAGCCGCGGUAAGACGUAGGGGGCCAGCGUUGUUCGGAAUUACUGGGUGUAAAGGGUUCGUAGGCGGUGCGGCAAGUUGGGAGUGAAAUCUCUGGGCUUAACCCAGAGGCUGCUUCCAAAACUGCUGUGCUUGAGUGUGGGAGAGGCGCGUGGAAUUGCAGGUGUAGCGGUGAAAUGCGUAGAUAUCUGCAGGAACACCCGUGGCGAAAGCGGCGCGCUGGACCACUACUGACGCUGAGGAACGAAAGCUAGGGGAGCAAACAGGAUUAGAUACCCUGGUAGUCCUAGCCCUAAACGAUCAGGACUUGGGGUGCCACCCGUUCGGGUGUCGUCCCGGAGCUAACGCGUUAAGUCCUGCACCUGGGGAGUACGGUCGCAAGACUG
RNAcentral lists this ribosomal RNA (803 nucleotides) under uncultured Pseudomonadota bacterium. RNAcentral's name for it is "bacterial SSU rRNA". It matches the Rfam family "Bacterial small subunit ribosomal RNA", at positions 74 to 896 of the family's 1533-position model. Lineage: Bacteria; Pseudomonadati; Pseudomonadota. The record is from RNAcentral.